Molecule: ribosomal RNA, 497 nt
Filed under: uncultured bacterium
Lineage: Bacteria
Description: partial 16S ribosomal RNA
Rfam family: Bacterial small subunit ribosomal RNA
Source: RNAcentral
GAUGAACGCUGGCGGCGUGCCUAAUACAUGCAAGUCGAGCGAACAGACGAGGAGCUUGCUCCUCUGACGUUAGCGGCGGACGGGUGAGUAACACGUGGAUAACCUACCUAUAAGACUGGGAUAACUUCGGGAAACCGGAGCUAAUACCGGAUAAUAUUUUGAACCGCAUGGUUCAACAGUGAAAGACGGUCUUGCUGUCACUUAUAGAUGGAUCCGCGCCGCAUUAGCUAGUUGGUAAGGUAACGGCUUACCAAGGCAACGAUGCGUAGCCGACCUGAGAGGGUGAUCGGCCACACUGGAACUGGGACACGGUCCAGACUCCUACGGGAGGCAGCAGUAGGGAAAUCUCCGCAAUGGGCGGAAGGCUGACCGAGCCAAGCCGCGUGGGUGAAGAAGGUUUUGCGGUCGUAAAACUCUGUUAUUAGGGAAGAACAAAAGUUGAAGGAACUAUGCCAGUCUUGACGGUACCUUAACAAGAAGGCACGGCUAAAUUAGUG